UACGGAGGGGGCGAGCGUUGUCCGAAGUUACUGGGCGUAAAGCGCGUGUAGGCGGGUUGCCAAGUCCGCUGUGAAAGCCCGAGGCUCAACCUCGGAGGGUCGGUGGAUACUGGCAGUCUUGAAGGUGCUAGGGGGAGAUGGAAUUACCGGUGUAGCGGUGAAAUGCGUAGAGAUCGGUAGGAACACCAGUGGCGAAGGCGGUCUCCUGGAGCAUUCUUGACGCUGAGACGCGAAAGCUGGGGGGAGCGAACGGG
Molecule: ribosomal RNA, 254 nt
Filed under: uncultured bacterium
Lineage: Bacteria
Description: partial 16S ribosomal RNA
Rfam family: Bacterial small subunit ribosomal RNA
Source: RNAcentral